RNAcentral lists this ribosomal RNA (748 nucleotides) under uncultured bacterium. RNAcentral's name for it is "bacterial SSU rRNA". It matches the Rfam family "Bacterial small subunit ribosomal RNA", at positions 28 to 764 of the family's 1533-position model. The record is from RNAcentral.
AACGAACGCUGGCGGCGCGUCUUAAGCAUGCAAGUCGGACGGCAAGGGGGAACUUGUUCCCCCCUAGAGUGGCGGACUGGUGAGUAACGCGUGGGUGACCUGCCCUGUGGUUGGGGAUAGCCGUUAGAAAUAGCGGGUAAUACCGAAUACGACCCUGUUGCUAUGGCGAUAGGGGGAAAGGAGCUACGGCUCCGCCAGAGGAUGGGCCCGCGUCCCAUUAGCUAGUUGGAGAGGUAAAGGCUCACCAAGGCAGUGAUGGGUAGCCGGCCUGAGAGGGUGAUCGGCCACAUUGGGACUGAGAUACGGCCCAAACUCCUACGGGAGGCAGCAGCUAAGAAUAUUCCGCAAUGGACGAAAGUCUGACGGAGCGACGCCGCGUGGAUGAGGAAGGCCGAAAGGUUGUAAAAUCCUUUUAUUGCUGAAGAAUAAGCAUGGGAGGGAAUGCCCGUGUGAUGACGUUAGGCAAUGAAUAAGCCCCGGCUAAUUACGUGCCAGCAGCCGCGGUAACACGUAAGGGGCAAGCGUUGUUCGGAAUUAUUGGGCGUAAAGGGCGUGUAGGCGGUUAUGUAAGUCUGGCGUGAAAGGCGGGAGCUUAACUCCUGGACUGCGUUGGAAACUGCAUAACUAGAGUCAUGGAGGGGGAGUUGGAAUUCCUAGUGUAGGGGUGAAAUCUGUAGAUAUUAGGAAGAACACCGGUGGCGAAGGCGAACUUCCAGCCGAUGACUGACGCUGAGGCGCGAAAGUGCGG